This 621-nucleotide non-coding RNA is filed under the name Methylobacterium platani. Its description in RNAcentral is "bacterial LSU rRNA". It matches the Rfam family "Bacterial large subunit ribosomal RNA", at positions 710 to 1325 of the family's 2925-position model. Lineage: Bacteria; Pseudomonadati; Pseudomonadota; Alphaproteobacteria; Hyphomicrobiales; Methylobacteriaceae. The record is from RNAcentral.
UAGACCCGAAACCAGGUGAUCUAGCCAUGCGCAGGAUGAAGGUGCGGUAACACGCACUGGAGGUCCGAACCAGUGCCCGUUGAAAAGGUCUUGGAUGACGUGUGGUUAGGGGUGAAAGGCCAAUCAAACCUGGACAUAGCUGGUUCUCCGCGAAAGCUAUUUAGGUAGCGCCUCGCGUGAAUGCCUUGCGGGGUAGAGCACUGGAUGGGCUAGGGCCGCCCACAGCGGUACCGCACUCAACCAAACUCCGAAUACGCAAGAGCACUGCGCGGGAGACACACGGCGGGUGCUAACGUCCGUCGUGAAGAGGGCAACAACCCUGACCGACAGCUAAGGCCCCCAAUUCGUGGCUAAGUGGGAAAGGAUGUGGGACUCCCAAAACAACCAGGAGGUUGGCUUAGAAGCAGCCAUCCUUUAAAGAAAGCGUAACAGCUCACUGGUCUAGCCAAGGGGUCCUGCGCCGAAAAUGUAACGGGGCUCAAGCCACGAGCCGAAGCUUCGGGUGCAUCUUAAGAUGCGCGGUAGCGGAGCGUUCCCUAGGCUGAUGAAGGGAGACCCGUGAGGGCCCCUGGAGGUAUGGGAAGUGCGAAUGCUGACAUGAGUAACGACAAAGAGUGUGAA